UACGUAGGAUGCGAGCGUUAUCCGGAUUUAUUGGGUUUAAAGGGUGCGUAGGCGGAAUAUCAAGUCAGCGGUAAAAAUUCGGGGCUCAACCCCGUCGUGCCGUUGAAACUGGCGGGCUGGAGUUGGAGAGAAGUACGCGGAAUGCGCGGUGUAGCGGUGAAAUGCUUAGAUAUCGGGAAGAACACCGAUGGCGAAGGCAGCUCUCUGGGCCGUCACUGACGCUGAGGCGCGAAAGCUGGGGGAGCGAACAGG
RNAcentral lists this ribosomal RNA (252 nucleotides) under uncultured bacterium. Its description in RNAcentral is "partial 16S ribosomal RNA". It matches the Rfam family "Bacterial small subunit ribosomal RNA", at positions 524 to 776 of the family's 1533-position model. The record is from RNAcentral.